AAUAGAGGUCUUCAUUUGGCUAUUUUUCACGUUUCUUACUCUUGAAUUGAUUUAUGCAUUUUCAACAAGAUAAAUUCAGAUUAUCACAUAUGCAUAGGUGCUUCUAUAUGAAUAAGUAGAGUACAAAAUAAAAUCAUAUAAUUUUGCAUCAUGUGCCUAUAUCACGUUUUGUCAUGUCCAUGUUGCCAUUUUCAUGUCUGUAUUAACGGAUGGCAAGGAUGAACAAACAUAAAUUCCAGGAGAACCAUAACAAGUAUGCCUAAAUCCAUGGAUCACACA
This 279-nucleotide unclassified non-coding RNA is filed under the name Hevea brasiliensis (rubber tree). The record is from RNAcentral. Lineage: Eukaryota; Viridiplantae; Streptophyta; Magnoliopsida; Malpighiales; Euphorbiaceae.